RNAcentral lists this ribosomal RNA (243 nucleotides) under uncultured bacterium. RNAcentral's name for it is "partial 16S ribosomal RNA". It matches the Rfam family "Bacterial small subunit ribosomal RNA", at positions 335 to 593 of the family's 1533-position model. The record is from RNAcentral.
UCCCUACGGGGGGCAGCAGUGGGGGAUAUUGCACAAUGGGGGGAACCCUGAUGCAGCGACGCCGCGUGGGUGAAGGAGCGUUUCGGCGCGUAAAGCCCUAUCGGCAGGGACGAAGCAAGUGACGGUACCUGAGGAAUAAGCCACGGCUAACUACGUGCCAGCAGCCGCGGUAAUACGUAGGUGGCAAGCGUUAUCCGGAUUUACUGGGUGUAAAGGGCGUGUAGGCGGGGACGCAAGUCAGAU